RNAcentral lists this ribosomal RNA (720 nucleotides) under uncultured bacterium. RNAcentral describes it as "bacterial SSU rRNA". It matches the Rfam family "Bacterial small subunit ribosomal RNA", at positions 68 to 781 of the family's 1533-position model. The record is from RNAcentral.
GGCAGCGCGGGAGCAAUCCUGGCGGCGAGUGGCGAACGGGUGAGUAAUACAUCGGAACGUGCCCAAUCGUGGGGGAUAACGUAGCGAAAGCUACGCUAAUACCGCAUAAGAUCUACGGAUGAAAGCGGGGGAUUCGCAAGAACCUCGCGCGAGUGGAGCGGCUGAUGGCAGAUUAGGUAGUUGGUGAGGUAAAGGCUCACCAAGCCUUCGAUCUGUAGCUGGUCUGAGAGGACGACCAGCCACACUGGGACUGAGACACGGCCCAGACUCCUACGGGAGGCAGCAGUGGGGAAUUUUGGACAAUGGGCGAAAGCCUGAUCCAGCAAUGCCGCGUGCAGGAUGAAGGCCUUCGGGUUGUAAACUGCUUUUGUACGGAACGAAAAGGUCUGCCCUAAUACGGCGGGCCCAUGACGGUACCGUAAGAAUAAGCACCGGCUAACUACGUGCCAGCAGCCGCGGUAAUACGUAGGGUGCGAGCGUUAAUCGGAAUUACUGGGCGUAAAGCGUGCGCAGGCGGUUAUGUAAGACAGUUGUGAAAUCCCCGGGCUCAACCUGGGAACUGCAUCUGUGACUGCAUAGCUAGAGUACGGUAGAGGGGGAUGGAAUUCCGCGUGUAGCAGUGAAAUGCGUAGAUAUGCGGAGGAACACCGAUGGCGAAGGCAAUCCCCUGGACCUGUACUGACGCUCAUGCACGAAAGCGUGGGGAGCAAACAGGAUUAG